This 583-nucleotide ribosomal RNA is filed under the name uncultured bacterium. RNAcentral's name for it is "partial 16S ribosomal RNA". It matches the Rfam family "Bacterial small subunit ribosomal RNA", at positions 355 to 923 of the family's 1533-position model. The record is from RNAcentral.
UGGGGAAUUUUGGACAAUGGGCGAAAGCCUGAUCCAGCAAUGCCGCGUGUGUGAAGAAGGCCUUCGGGUUGUAAAGCACUUUUGUCCGGAAAGAAAUCCUUGGCUCUAAUACAGUCGGGGGAUGACGGUACCGGAAGAGUAAGCACCGGCUAACUACGUGCCAGCAGCCGCGGUAAUACGUAGGGUGCAAGCGUUAAUCGGAAUUACUGGGCGUAAAGCGUGCGCAGGCGGUUUGCUAAGACCGAUGUGAAAUCCCCGGGCUCAACCUGGGAACUGCAUUGGUGACUGGCAGGCUAGAGUAUGGCAGAGGGGGGUAGAAUUCCACGUGUAGCAGUGAAAUGCGUAGAGAUGUGGAGGAAUACCGAUGGCGAAGGCAGCCCCCUGGGCCAAUACUGACGCUCAUGCACGAAAAGCGUGGGGAGCAAAACAGGAUUAGAUACCCUGGUAGUCCACGCCCUAAAACGAUGUCAAACUAGUUGUUGGGGAUUCAUUUCCUUAGUAACGUAGCUAACGCGUGAAGUUGACCGCCUGGGGAGUACGGUCGCAAAGAUUAAAAAGCUCAAAAGGAAUUGACGGGGGUCAU